Molecule: transfer RNA, 73 nt
Filed under: Candidatus Yanofskyibacteriota bacterium
Lineage: Bacteria; Candidatus Yanofskyibacteriota
Description: tRNA-Ile
Rfam family: tRNA
About the family: Transfer RNA (tRNA) molecules are approximately 80 nucleotides in length. Their secondary structure includes four short double-helical elements and three loops (D, anti-codon, and T loops). Further hydrogen bonds mediate the characteristic L-shaped molecular structure. tRNAs have two regions of fundamental functional importance: the anti-codon, which is responsible for specific mRNA codon recognition, and the 3' end, to which the tRNAs corresponding amino acid is attached (by aminoacyl-tRNA synthetases). tRNAs cope with the degeneracy of the genetic code in two manners: having more than one tRNA (with a specific anti-codon) for a particular amino acid; and 'wobble' base-pairing, i.e. permitting non-standard base-pairing at the 3rd anti-codon position.
Source: RNAcentral
GGGCGCGUAGUUCAGUGGCUAGAACGCUAUCCUGAUAAGAUAGAGGCCGAUGGUUCGAUUCCAUCCGCGCCCA